RNAcentral lists this non-coding RNA (113 nucleotides) under Bathycoccus prasinos. Lineage: Eukaryota; Viridiplantae; Chlorophyta; Mamiellophyceae; Mamiellales; Bathycoccaceae. The record is from RNAcentral.
GAAGAAGAAAAGAGCAAAAACAGGAGAACAAGGAGAGAGGAGAAAGAUCGUUCCAAAAUCGCAGAGUCUCUUUCUCUUUCUCUCUUUCUCUUUCUCUCUCUCUCUCUCCCGUU